RNAcentral lists this ribosomal RNA (445 nucleotides) under uncultured bacterium. RNAcentral describes it as "bacterial SSU rRNA". It matches the Rfam family "Bacterial small subunit ribosomal RNA", at positions 331 to 793 of the family's 1533-position model. The record is from RNAcentral.
CCAGACUCCUACGGGAGGCAGCAGUGGGGAAUAUUGCACAAUGGGGGAAACCCUGAUGCAGCGACGCCGCGUGAGUGAAGAAGUAUUUCGGUAUGUAAAGCUCUAUCAGCAGGGAAGAUAAUGACGGUACCUGACUAAGAAGCCCCGGCUAACUACGUGCCAGCAGCCGCGGUAAUACGUAGGGGGCAAGCGUUAUCCGGAUUUACUGGGUGUAAAGGGUGCGUAGGUGGCAUGGCAAGUCAGAAGUGAAAGCCCGGGGCUCAACCGCGGGACUGCUUUUGAAACUGUUAAGCUUGAGUGCAGGAGAGGUAAGCGGAAUUCCUAGUGUAGCGGUGAAAUGCGUAGAUAUUAGGAGGAACACCAGUGGCGAAGGCGGCCUGCUGGGCUUUAACUGACGCUGAGGCUCGAAAGCGUGGGGAGCAAACAGGAUUAGAUACCCGCGUAA